AGGAAUAUAUUGCGAAAGCUAACUGUAUAUCAUUAUGCAGGAUCAACUUCGUUGAAUAAAAUUCUGGGCAAUCGUUAUCAUGAAACGGUUUACCCAUGUGUCUUGACUAAAUUGCGUGCCAGCAGUCGCGGUAAUACGUAGAAGACUAGUGUUAUUCAUCUUUAAUAGGUUUAAAGAGUACCUAGACGGUAAAUCGAGCCCUAGUCGGGACUAAUUUGCUAGAGUUACUUACGAGGGGGCUUUAAAGUACUAAUGGUGUAAAGAUAAAAUUUUGUAAUACCAUUUUUCGAAAGAAAAAUUAUGGCACUGGUAAAGGUGAAGGCAUCCCCCUAUGUGAUAACUGACGUUGAAGGACGAAGG
This 360-nucleotide ribosomal RNA is filed under the name Cliostomum haematommatis. RNAcentral describes it as "SSU rRNA". It matches the Rfam family "Bacterial small subunit ribosomal RNA", at positions 357 to 759 of the family's 1533-position model. Lineage: Eukaryota; Fungi; Ascomycota; Lecanoromycetes; Lecanorales; Ramalinaceae. The record is from RNAcentral.